UACGGAGGGUGCAAGCGUUAUCCGGAUUCACUGGGUUUAAAGGGUGCGUAGGCGGGUUGGUAAGUCCGUGGUGAAAUCCCCAAGCUUAACUUGGGAACUGCCGUGGAUACUAUCAAUCUUGAAUAUCGUGGAGGUAAGCGGAAUAUGUCAUGUAGCGGUGAAAUGCUUAGAUAUGACAUAGAACACCAAUUGCGUAGGCAGCUUACUACGGGGAUAUUGACACUGAGGCACGAAAGCGUGGGGAUCAAACAGG
Molecule: ribosomal RNA, 253 nt
Filed under: uncultured bacterium
Lineage: Bacteria
Description: partial 16S ribosomal RNA
Rfam family: Bacterial small subunit ribosomal RNA
Source: RNAcentral